This 159-nucleotide unclassified non-coding RNA is filed under the name soil metagenome. RNAcentral describes it as "partial internal transcribed spacer 1". The record is from RNAcentral.
UAAUAAGUGUUUUAUGGCACUUUUUAAAUCCAUAUCCACCUUGUGUGCAAUGUCAGUCGAGUUUCUUUCCGUCAAUGAAAGAAGGAUCGACCAAACAUCAACCUUUAUCUAAUUGAACUCUUUGUCUGAAAAAUAUUAUGAAUAAACUAAUUCAAAAUA